RNAcentral lists this transfer RNA (69 nucleotides) under Urocitellus parryii (Arctic ground squirrel). RNAcentral's name for it is "Spermophilus parryii (Arctic ground squirrel) tRNA". It matches the Rfam family "tRNA". From Rfam's summary of the family: Transfer RNA (tRNA) molecules are approximately 80 nucleotides in length. Their secondary structure includes four short double-helical elements and three loops (D, anti-codon, and T loops). Further hydrogen bonds mediate the characteristic L-shaped molecular structure. tRNAs have two regions of fundamental functional importance: the anti-codon, which is responsible for specific mRNA codon recognition, and the 3' end, to which the tRNAs corresponding amino acid is attached (by aminoacyl-tRNA synthetases). tRNAs cope with the degeneracy of the genetic code in two manners: having more than one tRNA (with a specific anti-codon) for a particular amino acid; and 'wobble' base-pairing, i.e. permitting non-standard base-pairing at the 3rd anti-codon position. RNAcentral also lists the same sequence under 2 other names. Lineage: Eukaryota; Metazoa; Chordata; Mammalia; Rodentia; Sciuridae. The record is from Rfam by way of RNAcentral.
GGGGUUGUAGCUCAAUGGUAGAGUCCUUGCCUAGCAUGCAUGAGGCACUGGGUUCGAUCCUCAGCACCA